GUUAUCACUUUGGCAGCACUUAUACAAAAAAUGAAGCAAUGUAGAGAAUAUCAGCAUAGCCACUAUGCAAGAAUGACACAAAAAUUUGUGAAGUGUUCCACAUUUAA
Small nuclear RNA from Grammomys surdaster, 107 nucleotides. Lineage: Eukaryota; Metazoa; Chordata; Mammalia; Rodentia; Muridae. The record is from RefSeq and is a predicted model, not a curated record.